This is a long non-coding RNA of Gossypium arboreum, 724 nucleotides long. RefSeq lists it as uncharacterized. The transcript is spliced from 3 exons. NCBI's taxonomy places the organism in Eukaryota, Viridiplantae, Streptophyta, Magnoliopsida, Malvales, Malvaceae. The record is from RefSeq and is a predicted model, not a curated record.
UCAAGUUCUUUUUAUUGGUUGAUUUGUUAUUCUGCAACAAUAAUGGGUAUAUACUGUUAACUUUAUACAUGAUAUAGACACAUUUACUUGAUCUUUUUAUCAUUCAAGAGAGAGCGGAUGCUGAAAAGGUACCUAUAUCUGACAAGGGCCAGUUCUCCCAAACUGUUGCUCGUCGAUCGGUUUUGAAUAGUGUUUCUAACCAGGGAAAUCAUCCUCAGUCAAAUGUUUUAACUGUUUAUCUACAAGGAGUUGGGGCUUUUCUUCAAUAUUUGGGAGCCAGGCAUCAUCUAGAGGGACCGCAGCUACUGAAUCUCCUGAAGAAACUCUUCAUGAUGCAGAGAAUAUGUCAUCAACAAUCCAACUGAGAGAGGUAUCUAUACAUUUUAAAGCCUUGCACUUGUGUGUGAGAAAGUGUUGAUGACUUUGUUUUUCUUUAUAGCAGCAUAUCUUGCCUGUCCUAAAUUCACUUCCUUCAUGUUUUCCCUUGGUGAUCUCAGCCUACGUCAAUCUUAAGACCACUUGAAAUGUCAGAGAAUGAAGCUACAGAAAUAAUUAUCACCAGAAUACUUGUGAAAUUGUUAGUGUUUUGGGACACUUUAUCCGGAUGAAGUAUGAAGCUUAAUCUGGAACUUAUACAACAACGUAAUAAAUUCAGAUGAAGAAUGAAGAAAAACUUGAAGUACUUCAAAGUCUGGUGACUUUGAACUUGAAAAACAGAAUAGAA